RNAcentral lists this transfer RNA (89 nucleotides) under bacterium. RNAcentral's name for it is "tRNA-Leu". It matches the Rfam family "tRNA". From Rfam's summary of the family: Transfer RNA (tRNA) molecules are approximately 80 nucleotides in length. Their secondary structure includes four short double-helical elements and three loops (D, anti-codon, and T loops). The record is from RNAcentral. RNAcentral also lists the same sequence under 2 other names.
GCCUGAGUGGCGGAAUAGGUAGACGCACAGGACUUAAAAUCCUGCAGUAUCCCAAUACUGUGUGGGUUCAAUUCCCACCUUAGGCACCA